Molecule: ribosomal RNA, 588 nt
Filed under: Spathaspora sp. QQS-2019a
Lineage: Eukaryota; Fungi; Ascomycota; Pichiomycetes; Serinales; Debaryomycetaceae
Description: partial large subunit ribosomal RNA
Rfam family: Eukaryotic large subunit ribosomal RNA
Source: RNAcentral
AAAUGGCCUGCUUAGUAGCGGCGAGUGAAGCGGCAAAAGCUCAAAUUUGAAAUCUGGCGUAUUCUACGUCCGAGUUGUAAUUUGAAGAAGGUAACUUUGGGGUUGGCUCUUGUCUAUGUUCCUUGGAACAGGACGUCACAGAGGGUGAGAAUCCCGUGCGAUGAGAUGCCCAAUUCCAUGUAAAGUUCCUUCGAAGAGUCGAGUUGUUUGGGAAUGCAGCUCUAAGUGGGUGGUAAAUUCCAUCUAAAGCUAAAUAUUGGCGAGAGACCGAUAGCGAACAAGUACAGUGAUGGAAAGAUGAAAAGAACUUUGAAAAGAGAGUGAAAAAGUACGUGAAAUUGUUGAAAGGGAAGGGCUUGAGAUCAGACUUGGUAUUUUGUAUGUCUUGCUUUCGGGUGGGGCCUCUACAGUUUACUGGGCCAGCAUCGGUUCGGAUGGUAGGAUAAUCGCGAAGGAAUGUGGCACCACUUCGGUGGUGUGUUAUAGCCUUUGUGGAUACUGCUUGUCUGGACCGAGGACUGCGUCUUUAUUGACUAGGAUGCUGGCAUAAUGAUCUUAAGUCGCCCGUCUUGAACCACACGGACCACA